This 276-nucleotide ribosomal RNA is filed under the name uncultured bacterium. Its description in RNAcentral is "partial 16S ribosomal RNA". It matches the Rfam family "Bacterial small subunit ribosomal RNA", at positions 82 to 354 of the family's 1533-position model. The record is from RNAcentral.
CCGUUNCCGGCGACCGGCGCACGGGUGAGUAACACGUAUGCAACCUGCCCGUGGCAGGGGGAUAAGCGGGGGAAACCCCGUCUAAUACCGCGUAACGCGGCCUAGGGACAUCCCAAGGCCGCCAAAGGGAGCAAUCCCGGCCACGGAUGGGCAUGCGGCGCAUUAGCUAGUCGGCGGGGUAACGGCCCACCGAGGCGACGAUGCGUAGGGGUUCUGAGAGGAAGGCCCCCCACACUGGUACUGAGACACGGACCAGACUCCUACGGAAGGCAGCAG